GGGUUGUGAGGUUAAGCGACUAAGCGUACACGGUGGAUGCCCUGGCAGUCAGAGGCGAUGAAGGACGUGCUAAUCUGCGAUAAGCGCCGGUAAGGUGAUAUGAACCGUUAUAACCGGCGAUUUCCGAAUGGGGAAACCCAGUGUGAUUCGUCACACUAUCAUUACGUGAAUACAUAGCGUAAUGAAGCGAACCGGGGGAACUGAAACAUCUAAGUACCCCGAGGAAAAGAAAUCAACCGAGAUUCCCCCAGUAGCGGCGAGCGAACGGGGAGGAGCCCAGAGCCUGAAUCAGCAUGUGUGUUAGUGGAAGCGUCUGGAAAGGCGCGCGAUACAGGGUGACAGCCCCGUACACAAAAGCGCAUGUGCUGUGAGCUCGAUGAGUAGGGCGGGACACGUGGUAUCCUGUCUGAAUAUGGGGGGACCAUCCUCCAAGGCUAAAUACUCCUGACUGACCGAUAGUGAACCAGUACCGUGAGGGAAAGGCGAAAAGAACCCCGGCGAGGGGAGUGAAAAAGAACCUGAAACCGUGUACGUACAAGCAGUGGGAGCACAGGUUUACCUGUGUGACUGCGUACCUUUUGUAUAAUGGGUCAGCGACUUAUAUUCUGUAGCAAGGUUAACCGAAUAGGGGAGCCGGAGGGAAACCGAGUCUUAACCGGGCGUUAAGUUGCAGGGUAUAGACCCGAAACCCGGUGAUCUAGCCAUGGGCAGGUUGAAGGUUGGGUAACACUAACUGGAGGACCGAACCGACUAAUGUUGAAAAAUUAGCGGAUGACCUGUGGCUGGGGGUGAAAGGCCAAUCAAACCGGGAGAUAGCUGGUUCUCCCCGAAAGCUAUUUAGGUAGCGCCUCGUGAAUUCAUCUCCGGGGGUAGAGCACUGUUUCGGCUAGGGGGCCAUCCCGGCUUACCAACCCGAUGCAAACUGCGAAUACCGGAGAAUGUUAUCACGGGAGACACACGGCGGGUGCUAACGUCCGUCGUGAAGAGGGAAACAACCCAGACCGCCAGCUAAGGUCCCAAAGUCAUGGUUAAGUGGGAAACGAUGUGGGAAGGCCCAGACAGCCAGGAUGUUGGCUUAGAAGCAGCCAUCAUUUAAAGAAAGCGUAAUAGCUCACUGGUCGAGUCGGCCUGCGCGGAAGAUGUAACGGGGCUAAACCAU
Molecule: ribosomal RNA, 1159 nt
Filed under: Salmonella enterica
Lineage: Bacteria; Pseudomonadati; Pseudomonadota; Gammaproteobacteria; Enterobacterales; Enterobacteriaceae
Also listed under: 1 other name
Description: partial 23S ribosomal RNA
Rfam family: Bacterial large subunit ribosomal RNA
Source: RNAcentral